RNAcentral lists this ribosomal RNA (506 nucleotides) under uncultured bacterium. RNAcentral's name for it is "partial 16S ribosomal RNA". It matches the Rfam family "Bacterial small subunit ribosomal RNA", at positions 29 to 523 of the family's 1533-position model. The record is from RNAcentral.
AGUGAACGCUGGCGGUAGGCCUAACACAUGCAAGUCGAACGGCAGCACAGGAGAGCUUGCUCUCUGGGUGGCGAGUGGCGGACGGGUGAGGAAUACAUCGGAAUCUACUUUUUCGUGGGGGAUAACGGAGGGAAACUUACGCUAAUACCGCAUACGACCUACGGGGAAAAGCAGGGGACCUUCGGGCCUUGCGCGAUUGAAUGAGCCGAUGUCGGAUUAGCUAGUUGGCGGGGGAAAGGCCCAACAAGGCGACGAUCCGUAGCUGGUCUGGGAGGAGGAUCGACACCAUUGAAACGUAGCAAGGGUCAAGACUCCUAUGGGAGGCAGGAGUGGGAAAUUUUGGACAAUGGGCGCAAGCCUGAUCCAGCCAUACCGCGUGGGUGAAGAAGGCCUUCGGGUUGUAAAGCCCUUUUGUUGGGAAAGAAAUCCAGCUGGCUAAUACCCGGUUGGGAUGACGGUACCCAAAGAAUAAGCACCGGCUAACUUCGUGCCAGCAGCCGCCGUAA